UUUGAAGGAGAACCAUCAGAUUUUUGGAAGCCAAAAAUAAAAACCCUAAUAUAAAAGAUCUCUCACUCUUAUUCUAAAUAGGAGCAGCGGCAGAACCCCCAUCCCCUCCCCUGAACCAAAAAUCUUAACGUCGCAGCACACAUUAACACACAACCGCCACUUAUCUACUUCUUCCUCCAAAAACACUACCAUUUUUAGCUCCAAAAUUACCCUUUAAACCACCUUGAAUCAACCCAAAACGUCACCUAAGAACCCUCCCAAAAGCAGCUCCAAACAGCCCCCUUUUCAUUAUAUAACAGAAGCGUUGGGAGUUGAGUCGAGGUCGUCGUACACGAUUCUGCUUGAGAUCUAGGUGAGGUUUUUCUGUUCGAGCUCCGGUUUCGGUUUUUGAGCAGUUUUCAGAACAAUCAUUCAUUUGCUUUGUGAACCAAGUGAAACUACAUAUAUUGAAAGUUGCGGUUGUUUGAGGUCUAAUUCUAACCCUAUGCAUUCUUUGGUUUGCAGUUUAUUUUGUUAUAGAUGCUGGGAGAGUAUUUGUUCGAUUUUCUGUUGUAAUAGAUGCUGGGAGAGUAUUUGUUCGAUUUUCUGUUUUCUUCUUUGCUUUUCGAAAUAAAGUUGCAUCAGCAUGAUCUUUAACUUUGAAAUAGGCUCCUUCUUCGUUUGAGCUAACGAAAGAGUAGUGCCCUUUUCAGAUUGUUUUAGGUAAUUCUUUGUUGCUACUUUCUAUGUAUUUUAAGAUUUGGACAAUUUUUUAAGACCUCUCUGUUCAUAGAUUUCAAUACUAUUUUGAUAUGGUUUUUGAAGAAUUACUAAUUAAUUAUAGUAAAGCUGUUAUUUUUUUAGAUCCUUAUGGUUUAUUACUUUGUUGGUGAAUUUCGUGUUAUAAAGGUUUGCCUUUGAAAAAACUGCAAAAAAGUUAUUAGUUGAAAUUUGAUGUUGUUUCUAAGUUCGGUGCCGUAAUAUUAUGGCAUCAGCGAACGAUUCUGUUUUUUGGCAAUAAGAAGAUUGCAUUCCCUAGUCUAGUGUGAGGAUGGAAGAAACAAUAUUUAUCCUCCUUCAUAGUUGUUAAUAUAAAGUGUAAGGCUUUACGUCUCCUAUGCAAAAUCAUAGGCCUAUGUGGAGAUUGCAGUCUAUAGCCUGAACAAUAUUCUCACAAGCAAAGAUUCUCCUUUCUUGUUCUUUUGCUUGUUACGGGGAAAAGAAACCCAUAUAAUAUACCUCAAACUUUUAGUUUCCAUAUAAUCUCAAAAUUUAGGAAAAUAAAUAAUUCUUGAAUGUCGUAGCUUGCUUUAGGCGCAAUUAAUAAACCAUCGUGAUUAUGGGUACGGUUCCCGUGACAUAUGCCUAAUUUUCCAAAUUCGGUUAUGCAUUUCAUGUGACCCGAUCAUAACAACUUUUAAUAAUAUUAAAAUAAACAUGUCGCGAAUCGUGGGUGCAUUUCAUGUAGCGUGGUUUGCGAUGUGUUCCAAAAUGGCAAGUGUACGACAAUCUUAACUUGUUCAAGAAAUAAUUUCAAAAAUUCUAAAAGCAGUUAAAAUAAUUAAAAAGCGGUUAUAAAGCUAAAAAUGCACAAUAGGUUUAAAACAUGUAGUAAAUCAGAUAAUUGGCCAAUUAUUAAUAGUUUAAGCGACCGUGCUCGAACCACGGAAUCAGGGAAUGCCUAACACCUUCUUGCGGGUUAACAGAAUUCCUUAUCUAAAAUUUCUGGUUUAAAAGUAACCUCGAAUUGGGAUUUUUUAAAAGUAAACCGGUGAUUUGGGACACCCUAAAUAUUCCAAGUGGCGACUCUGAAAUUUAAUAAAAUAAUCUCAUUUCGAUUAUUGUCACUUUAAUUGGAAAAACUCCCUUAUAUACCCUUCAGGUAGAAAAAGGAGGUGUGACAGUCGAGGGCUGACCCCACUACUGAGACGGACCCUCAAGAAGAUGAGGACACUACCUCCUUAUAUGCUCAAACUCUCCACACUCAUAACAACUCCCCUGUACUAGAGACAGGGACUAAAAGGAACCCCUUGCACCGGAAUGACCAAUAGAAGGACCUGGCAUGGAAGAACCCUGAACUGAUGGAGUACGGGACGAACUCUGGGCUGGAAGGGCACUAAGUGAUGAAUGGCCCUAAUAAGAACUGUGAGAACCAUGGCCGAAUGAUGCCCCACGAUAACUUGGGCGAGCUGACUGAGUCUGCUUGAAUGGACGGCCACUGUCGUGCUGAAACUGACCUCUUGAAGGAGCACUUCCAAAGCUGCCAGAUCCCCGAGGCCUCUUGGCCUCCCUGUCCUCUCGCUCCUGGCAACGAACUGACUUAAUCUUGCGGGCAAUGUCAACAACCUCCUCAAAGUAGCACCUGUGUGAUGAUCCGGCCGGUCGUCUCAAGAAUUAAUGCCCCGAUCCCCUAUUAACUGCUUUUCCCAAGUUUAUUUCUGCUAAUGUGAUUUGCCGGGAUGUUCGGUUUUGAGUUUCGGGACACUUAAUCCCUAAAUGAGAGCUUAAGUGUUGGAAAGUUGACCGUAGUCGGAACAAUAUGAAGACGACCUCGGAAUGGAAAUUUGAUGGUUCUGUUAGCUCCGUUGGGUGAUUUUGGGGUUAGAAGCGUGUUCGAAUUGUAUUUUGGAGGUCCGUAGCUAAUUUAGGCUUGAAAUGUCGAAAGUUGAAUUUUGGAAGUUUCCAAUUCGAUAAUGAAAUUUUGAUCCAAGGGUCAGAAUGUAAUUCUAAGAGUUGCAGUAGUUCCGUUAUGUCAUUUGGGAUGUGUGUGCAAAUUUUAGGUCAUUCGGACGUGUUUUGGUUGGGUUCUUGAUCGAAAGAGAAAUUCGGAAGAUUUUAGAAACUUAGGCUUGAAUCCAAUGUGUUUUGGUUGUUUUGAUGUUGUUUGAAGUGUUUUGAAGAUUUGUACAAGUUUGAAUAAGGUUUUAGGAUAUGUUGAUGCCUUUGGUUGAGAUCCUGGGGGCCUCGGGAUGAAUUCAGAUGGUUAACGGAGGAAAUUUUGGAGUUGAAAUUGCUGUAACAGUUGUUCUUCUGGUAUUUUUGCAUCUACGGUUUGGGGACCACAGAUGCGGAGCCGCAAAAGCGGCAAAGAGGACUGCAGAAGCGAAAUUUGGGAUUUCCCCCAGGAACCGUAGAUGCGGUGAGAUGUCCGCAGAAGCAGAACCGCUCCUGCAGUUAGAGUUCUGCAGAUGCGAAAGCUGGGUCCUUAAGUGAAAGUCACAGAUGCGACACUUGUUCCGCAGAAGUGAGACCGCAGAUGCGUCCUAAGGCCGCAAAUGCGGAAAAUCACUGGGCGGAACAUAUAAAUAGUUGCCUUCGCGAAUUUGAGGGAUCCUUUCACCAUUUUCAUCCGGGUUUGAAGCUUUUAAGAGAUAUUUUUGAGGAAAACAAAGAGGAGUCACUUGGAGGUAACAUCCUUGACUUCAUAACUCGUUUUUAUGUGAUUAAAGACCUAAUUAGUGGUGAGAAAUUUGGGAAAAUGGGUAAUUAGGGCUUGAGUUUAAGAGACAUUUAAAUAAGUAUUUGAAGGGUCAUUUGGACUCCGAUUUUAGUGUUCUUGUUAUGUAUAAACUCAUGAGAGUACGAGGUUUCUGAAAAUGUAAAUUUCACCUGAUUCUUAGAAGUGGGACCGAGGGGCGUUUUGGUCAUUUUAUAUAAUUUCGCGUAUUAGCUUAGAAUUUAGUUGUAGAAUCAGUUACUUGAAGGGUUAUUUAUAUUAUGCAAUUGAAUUGAAUAGAUUUAGGCCAUUUGGAGUCGAGUACUCAUGGAAAAGACGUGGUGUUGGGUUGAUUUUUGAGUCAGUUCGAGGUAAGUGGCUUGUCUAACCUUGCGUGGGGACCUUCCCCUUAGGAUUGGUAUAUGUGGUAUUAAAAUGCCUUAUACAUGAGGUGACGAGUAUGUACUUGUGCUAAUUGUUGGAAAUCAGGUUUUCUUAAGUGAUUACUAGUAUGUUUCCUUUCCUAUUUUUAUUUCUUACACUAUUAAGUCUGUUGUUAGCUUAGGAAAGCAUGUCUAAGUGACUUAAUUGCUUUAAUUGAUUCAACCUGUCUGUGCAGCAUGCUAGGCUAGAAUCACUUAUUGCCUUAAUAUGAACUUUUGCCAUUUCUGUAUACCUUUCCGCUAUUGUUGUGUAUUUAUUUUGGGACUACAGAUGUGGGAUUCCGGUAGCUCCCCCUUGUCUAUUUACUUUGGGACUAAGGGUUAGAUUCCCGGUAGAUCCCCCUGCACAUUUACUUUGGGACUAUGAGUUAGNNNNNNNNNNNNNNNCUUAUUUAUACUAUUUCGUUCUAUACUGUUGAUCUUUAUAUUUUAUUUAACUUUAGUAGGUCCCUGACCUUCCUCGUCACUACCCAAUCGAGGUUAGGCUUGGAACUUACUGAGUACCGCUGUGGUGUACUCUUGCCUCUUCUGCGCAUGUUUAUCAUGUGCAUAUCCAGGUACCGCUGAUCAGGUCUACUAUCCUUGAGGGAGGCGACCGCUCUAGAGACUUCGAGGUACAUCUACCGCAUUCGCAGACCGAGAAGUCCCUUUUUAUUCCUGCUUUUAGUAUUUAGCCCUUAUGUACCUUCCUGUUCUUAUUAGACAUUCUGGAGUUAGAGCUAUGUAGUAUUGAUCUUAGCUUGUGAUUCAUGGGUUUUAGGGUCUUGGAUUUAUGUUUGGUAUUGAGAGUUAAACAUGAUGUAUGUCGAGCGGCACAUUUAAACAUUGUUACUGCUUUAUUUCUAUUUUAAAUUGUUUACUUCCGCAAAUUAGGCUUACCUAGUCGUAGAGACUAGGUGUUGUCACAAUGGUUCAUUGAGGGCAAACCGGGGUCGUGACAAGUUGGUAUUAGAGCUCUAGAUUUAUAGGAGUCAUGGAUCACAAGCCGGUUUAUUAGAGUCUCGAUGAUCGGUACGAAGAUGCCCGUACUUAUCUAUGAGAGGCUAUGUAACUGUUAGAAAAAUUCCACUUCAUUUGAUUUUCUUGUCGUGUGAUAUUUUGACAUCAUCAUUCUAAACUUUUGUCUUCUAUUCCCUCACAGAUGGUGAGGACACGUGCUACCCGAGAUGAUCAGGCACUCGCGCCCCCAACUGCAGCCGUCAGAGGCUGGGGCCAGGGUAGAGGCCGAGGACGCGCACGUGGUAUAGCCAGAGCACCUGCGCGAGCUACCACCGAGGUACCACCAGUGGAUCUAGCCGGAGUCCAGGCACCUGACACGCCCACUGCUACUACCACUCCGGCUCUUCAAGAGACUUUGGCACAGUUUAUGAGCAUGUACACCACCUUGGCUUAAGCAGGGUUGUUUCCCCUUACUGCAACUACGUCUCAAGCUGGGGGAGGAGCACAGACUCUCACUACCCGCACUCCUGAGUAGCGAGUUCAUGUUGAGCAGGUCCUUGAGAUUAUUCUUGUACCGCCUGUAGUGCCAGUUCAACCCGAGGACAGGGCAGCGACUUCCGAGGAUGAGCAGUUGAGGCUUGAGAGAUUCAAGAAGUACAAGCCCCCUGUAUUUAGUGGUCUAGCAUCGGAGGAUGCUCUGGGAUUUUUUUAUGAGUGUUACCGCAUUCUUCGUACCAUAGGUAUUUCAGGAUCGAGCGGGGUUUCUUUCACUACCUUUCAACUUCAAGGAGCCGCCUAUGAGUGGUGGCGCACCUAUGAGCUAGACAUUCCAGAUGAGGCUGCUUCACUGACUUGGGCUCAGUUUUCAAAUUUAUUCAUGAGGGAGUAUGUUCCUCAGAGCCUUAGGGACACAUGGCGCGCAGAGUUUGAGCAUUUGUGCUAGGGUGCUAUGACUAUUUCAGAGUAUGUACACCAGCUUGGCUAGACAUGCACCAGCCUUGGUUUCUACUAUCCGCGAGAGGGUUCACCAGUUUAUUGAGGGCCUUAUUCCCAGCAUCAGAUCUAGUAUGGCUCGCGAGUUGGAGAUGGAUAUUUCUUACCAGUAGGUGGUGAGCAUUUCUAGGAGGAUUGAGGGUAUGUAUGCUAGGGAGAAAGAGGAGAGGGAGUCUAAGAGGUCUAGAGAGUUGGGCCAUUAUUAUGGUGCCCGUACCCUAGAUGCAGGUCGUCAUGGCAGGGGUUAUGUGAGUCGCCCUGUUCAUUCGGCUCUUCCAGCAGCUAGUGGUAUUCCAGCUCCUCCUAGGCCUCAGGAGUCUUAUUAUGCACCUCCGGUUUCUAGCGCGCCUCCAGCGCGGGGUGUUUUCAGAGGUCAGUCCAACAGACCUGGCCCUAGCCAGUAACAGCCACCACAUCCUCUCAGAUCUUGUUUUGAGUGUGGUGACACACGUCAUAUGGUGAGGGAUUGCCCCAAACUUGGGAGGGGUGCACCUCCACAGACUUCUCAGCCCCAGCAUGCCCCGUAGAGUUCUCAAGCUAUGGUUACAGCUCUAGUUGCUACCCCACCUGCUCAGCCAGCUGAAGGUGGAGGUCGGGGAGGUAGAGGUCACCCUAGAGGGGGAGGCCAUGCCAGAUACUAUGCCCUUCCUAACCGUACCGAGAUUAUUGCCUCCGAUUCUGUCAUCACAGGUAUUACACUUGUUUGCCACAGAGAUGCAUCGGUUCUAUUCGAUCCAGGCUCUACUUAUUCUUAUGUCUCUUCUUAUUUUGCUCUGCAUUUGGGUUUAUCUCAGGAUUCUUUGAGUUCUCUUGUGGGAGAUUUUCUCGUUGUGGACCGCAUUUAUCGGUUGUGUUUGGUUGCUCUUAGUGGUUUUGAGACCAGAGCCAAUUUAUUGUUACUCAGUAUGGUUGACUUAGAUAUUAUCUUGGGCAUGAACUGGUUGUCACCCCAUUAUGCUAUUCUUGAUUGUCACGCUAAAAUCGUGAUGCUGGCUAUGCUAGGUGUACCAUGUGUUGAGUGGAGAGGUACUUUAGAUUACGCCCCCAAUAGAGUUAUUUCUUUUCUUAAAGCUCAGCGUAUGGUUGAGAAGGGGUGUGACACAUAUUUAGCUUAUGUGAGAGAUGUCAGUAUUGAUAACCCUUCAGUUGAUUCAGUUCCAGUAGUACGGGAUUUUCCCGAUGUGUUUCCAACUGAUCUUCCAGGCAUGUUGCCUAAUAGAGAUAUUGAUUUUGGCAUUGAUCUAUUGCCGGGCACUCAGCCCAUUUCUAUUCCUCCAUAUCGUAUGGCUCCUCCUGAGUUGAAGGAGUUGAAGGAUCAAUUACAGGCUUGAUAAGGGUUUUAUUCGGCCUAGUGUAUCACCUUGGGGAGCUCCUGUCUUGUUUGUGAAGAAAAAGGAUGGUUCUAUGCAUAUGUGUAUUGAUUAUUGCCAGUUGAAUAAGGUUACAGUGAAGAACCGUUAUCCCUUGCCUCGUAUUGAUGAUCUAUUUGACCAGCUUCAAGGUGCAUGGGUAUUUUCUAAAAUUGACUUGCGCUCAGGUUACCAUCAGUUGAAAAUUCGGGAGCCAGAUAUCCCAAAGACUGCUUUCAGGACUCGGUAUGGUCAUUACGAGUUCCUUGUUAUGUCAUUUGGGUUGACCAAUACCCCAGCAGCCUUUAUGCAUUUGAUGCACAGUGUGUUCCAGCCGUAUUUUGACUCGUUUGUCAUUGUCUUUAUUGAUGAUAUUCUGGUGUAUUCCCGGAGUCGGGAAGAUCAUGAGCAGCACCUGAGGACUAUGCUUCAGACUUUGAGAGAGAAGAAGUUAUAUGCUAAAUUCUCAAAAUGGGAGUUUUGGUUGGAUUCAGUGGCAUUCCUAGGCCAUGUGGUAUCGAGUGAGGGUAUUCAAGUGGAUCCGAAGAAGAUAGAGGUCGUGCAGAGUUGGCCCAGACCAUCCUUAGCUACAGAGAUCCGCAGUUUCUUUGGUUUAGCGGGUUACUACCGUCGUUUUGUGGAGGGGUUUUCAUCGAUUGCAGCCCCUAUGACCAGGUUGACCCAGAAGGGUGCUCCGUUUCAGUGGAUAGAGGAGUGUGAGGCGAGCUUUAAGAAGCUUAAGAUAGCUUUGAGCACAACCCCAAUUUUGAUACUACCUACAGGUUCGGGGUCUUAUACGGUCUAUUAUGAUGCCUCAAGGGUUGGCCUCGAAGCGGUGUUGAUGCAGGAUGAUAGGGUGAUUGCCUACACUUCCAGACAGUUGAAGAUACAUGAGAAGAACUACCCUGUUCACGACCUUGAGUUAGCUACCAUUGUUCACGCCCUGAAGAUUUGGUGCCAUUAUUUAUACGGGGUUCCAUGUGAGAUUUAUACUGACCAUCAGAGCUUGCAGCACUUGUUCAAGCAAAAGGAUCUAAAUUUGCGCUAGAGGAAGUGGUUGGAGUUGCUAAAGGACUAUGAUAUCACUAUUUUAUAUCACCCGGGCAAGACCAAUGUGGUGGUCGAUGCUUUGAGUUGUCGAGCAGAGAGUUUGAGGAGUUUAGCUUAUUUAACAACAUCAGAGAGGCCUAUAGCGAUGGAUAUUCAGGCCUUAGCCAGCCAGUUUGUGAGAUUGGAUAUUUCGGAGCCCGGUCGGGUUCUAGCUUGCGUGAUUUCUCGGUUUUUCUUAUUUGAUCGUAUCAGGGAGCGGCAAUAUGAUGACCCUCAUUUGCUUGUCCUCAAGGACAAGGUUCAACACGGUGAUGCUAGGGAUGUGACUAUUGGUGAUGAUGGGGUAUUGAGGAUGCUGGGUCGGAUUUAUGUGCCCAAUGUUGAUGUGCUUCGAGAGUUGAUUCUAGUGGAGGCCCAUAGCUCGCAGUAUUCCAUUCAUCCAGGUGCCGCAAAGAUGUAUCAGGAUUUGAGACAACACUAUUGGUGGAGGCGAAAGAAGAAAGAUAUAGUUGGAUUCGUAGCUCGGUGACUCAACUGUCAGCAGGUGAAGUAUGAGCACUAGAGAUCGGGUGGGUUGCUUCUACAUAUAGAGAUUCCGGAGUGGAAGUGGGAGCGGAUCACCAUGGACUUUGUAGUUGGGCUCCCACGGACAUCGAGGAAGUUUGAUGCUAUUUGGGUGAUUGUGGAUCGGCUGACCAAGUCCGGUCACUUUAUUCCUAUGUGUACUACUUAUUCCUCGAAGCGGCUGGUGGAGAUCUAUAUCCGGGAGAUUGUUCGUCUGCAUGGUAUUCCGGUUUCUAUCAUUUUAGAUAGAGGUACCCAGUUCACAUCACAGUUCUAGAGAGUUGUUCACCAUUAGUUAGGUACUCGAGUAGAGUUAAGUACAACAUUUCACCCUCAGAUAGAUGGACAGUCCAAGCGCACUAUUCAGAUUCUUGAGGAUAUGCUCCAUGCGUGUGUGAUUGAGUUUGGAGGGUCUUGGGAUCAGUUUUUUUCAUUGGCAGAGUUUGCUUACAACAACAACUAUCAGUCCAGUAUUUAGAUGGCACCGUAGAGGCUUUAUAUGGUAGGCGGUGCAGAUCUCCGGUGGGUUGGUUUGAGCCGGGCGAGGCCAGAUUGUUGGGCACAGACCUGGUUUAGGAUGCUUUGGAGAAGGUUAAGGUGAUUCAGGAUAGACUCCGCACAGCCCAAUCCAGACAAAAGAGUUACGUGGACCGGAAGGUUCGCGAUGUUUCCUAUAUGGUUGGAGAGCGGGUUCUGCUUCGGGUUUCGCCUAUGAAGGGCAUUAUGAGAUUCGGGAAGAAAGGGAAGUUGAGUCUGAGGUUUAUUGGCCCUUUUGAGAUAUUGAGGCAUGUUGGGGAGGUUGCUUAUGAGCUUGCCUUACCUCCCAGCUUGGCAGGAGUUUAUCCGGUAUUUCAUGUUUCGAUGCUCCGGAGGUAUCACGGUGAUCCGUCGCACAUGUUGGAUUUCAGUUCAGUCCAGUUGGAUAAGGAUCUAUCUUAUAUUGAGGAGCCAGUGACAAUAUUGGACAGGCAGGUUAGAAAGUUGAGGUCAAAGAACAUUGCAACAGUGAAGGUCUAAUGGCAGGGUUAGCCGAUCGAGGAGGCGAUCUGAGAGAUCGAGCAGGAUAUGCACAGCCGUUACCCUCAUCUUUUCACUACUUCAGGUAUGUCUCUAUGCUCGUUCGAGGACGAAUGAAUGUUUAAGUGUAGGAGGAUGUGAUGACCUGGCCGGUCGUCUUAAGAAUUAAUGCCCCGAUCCCUAUUAACUGCUUUUCCCAAGUUUAUUUCUGCUAAUGUAAUUUGUCGGGAAUGAGAGCUUAAGUGUUGAAAAGUUGACCGUAGUUGGAAUAGUGUGAAGACGGCCUCAAAAUGGAAAUCCAAUAGUUCUGUUAGCUCCGUUGGGUGAUUUUGGGGUUAGGAGCGUGCUCGGAUUGUGUUUUGGAGGUCCGUAGCUAAUUUAGUCUUGAAAUGGUGAAAGUUGAAUUUUGGAAGUUUCCGGUUCGAUAGUGAGAUUUUGAUCUGAGGGUCAGAAUGGAAUUUUGAGAGUUGCAGUAGUUCUUUUAUGUCAUUUGGGAUGUGUUUGCAAAAUUUCAGGUCAUUCGGACGUGUAUUGGUUAGGUUUUUGAUCGAAAGCGGAAUUCGGAAGAUUUUAGAAACUUAGGCUUGAAUCCGAUGUGUUUGUUGUUUUGAUGUUGUUUGAAGUGUUUUGAAUAUUUGUACAAGUUUGAAUAAGGUUUUAGGAUAUGUUGAUGUCUUUGGUUGAGGUCCCGGGGGCCUCGGGAUGAAUUCGGAUGGUUAACGGAGGAAAUUUUGUAGUUGAAGUUGUUGUAGCAGCUAUUCUUCUGGUAUUUUUGCAUCUGCAGUUUGGGGACCGCAGAUGCGGAGCUGCAGAAGCGGCGAAGAGGACCGCAAAAGCGAAAUUUGGGAUUUCCCUCAGGAACCGCAGAUGCGGUGAGAUGUCCGCAGAAGCAGAACCGCUCCUGCGGUUAGAGUUCCGCAAAUGCGAAAGCUGGGUCCUUAAGUGAAAGUUGCAGAUGCGACACUUGUUCCGCAGAAGCGGGACCGCAACAAAUGCGAAAAAUCGUUGUGCAGAACAUAUAAAUAGUUGCCUUCACGAAUUUGAGGGAUCCUUUCACCAUUUUCAUCCGGGUUUGAAGCUUUUAAGAGAGAUUUUUGAGGAAAACAAAGGGAAAUCACUUGGAGGUAACAUCCUCGACUUCAUAACUCAUUUUUAUGUGAUUAAAGACCUAAUUAGUGGUGAGAAAGCUUGAGUUUAAGAGGCCUUUAAACGAGGAUUUAAGGGGGCAUUUUGGACUCCGAUUUCAGCAUUCUUGUUAUGUAUAGACUCGUGAGAGUAUGAGGUUUCUGAAAUUGUAAAUUUCAUCUGAUUCCGAGACGUGGGCCCGAGUGGCAUUUUGGUCAUUUUAUAUAAUUUUGCGUAUUAUCUUAGAAUUUAAUUGUAGAAUCAGUUACUUGAAGUGUUAUUUACAUUAUGCAAUUGAAUUUAAUAGAUUUGGGGCAUUUGGAGUUGAGUACUCGUGGAAAAUACGUGGUGUUGGGUUAAUUUUUGAGCCGGUUCGAGGUAAGUGGCUUGUCUAACCUUGUGGGGGGGACCUUCCCCUUAGGAUUGAUAUAUUUGGUAAUUGAAAUGCCUUGUACGUGAGGUGAUGAGUGCAUAUUUGUGCUAAUUGUUGGAAAUCCGGUUUUCUUAAGUAAUUACUAGUAUGUUUCCUUUCCUUUUUCUAUUUCUUGCACUAUUAAGCCUGUUGUUAGCUUAGGAAAGCAUGUCUAAGUGACUUAAUUGCUUUAAUUGAUUCAACCUGCUUUACUUGAAUUCUGUGCAGCAUGCUAGGCUAGAAUCACUUAUUGCCUUAAUAUGAAAUUUUGCCAUUUCUGUAUAUCUUCCUGCUGUUGCUGUGUAUUUAUAUUGGGAUUAUGGAUAUGGGAUUCCGGUAGCUCUCCCUUGUUUGUUUACUUUGGGACUACGGGUUAGAUUCCUGGUAAAUCCCCAUGCACAUUUACUUUGGACUACGGGUUAGAUUCUCGGUAGAUUCCCCCAGUACUGGGUAUUUACAUUUGGGACUACGGAAGGGGAUUCCGGUAGAUCCCCGCGCACUAUGAGUUGGACUACGGGACGGGAUCCCGGGAGAUCCUUUGGACAUAUAUAUACCCGCGCACUAUGAGUUGGACUACGGGACGGGAUCCCGGGAGAUCCUUCGGACAUAUAUAUAUAUAUAUGAUGGACUACGGGAUGGUAUCCUGGGAGAUUCACUAGAUAUGUAAAGAUGGUACUACAGGACGGUAUCCUGGGAGAUCCCCGAUUGUUACUAUUGGUGUUGAGCUGUAUUUCCUUUCCACGUUUACCUUGUUAUGUAUAGUUGUUGUUGUUCUGUUCAUCUUAUGUUAUUUUACUACUGUACUUAUUUAUACUGUUUUGUUCUAUACUGUUAAUCUUUAUAUUUUAUUUAACCUCAGUAGGGCCCUGACCUUCCUCGUCACUACCUAACCGAGGUUAGGCUUGGCACUUACUGAGUACCAUUGUGGUGUACUCAUGCCUCUUCUGUGCAUGUUUUUCAUGUGCAGAUCCAGGUACCACUGAUCAGGUCUACUAUCCUUGAGGGAGGCGACUGCUCUAGAGACUUCGAGAUACAUUUGCCGCGUCCGCAGACUAAGAAGUCCCUUUCUAUUCCUGCUUUUAGUAUUUAGCCCUUAUGUACCUUCAUGUUUUUAUUAGACAUUCUGGAGUUAGAGCUAUGUAGUAUUGAUCUUUGCCUGUGAUUCAUGGGUUUUCGGGUCUUGGAUUUAUGUUUGGUAUUGAGAGUUAAAUAUGGUGUAUGCCGAGCGGCACAUUUAAACACUGUUACUGC
RNAcentral lists this long non-coding RNA (12558 nucleotides) under Nicotiana tabacum (common tobacco). RNAcentral's name for it is "long non-coding RNA (NTAB_LNC008152)". Lineage: Eukaryota; Viridiplantae; Streptophyta; Magnoliopsida; Solanales; Solanaceae. The record is from RNAcentral.